UGCAGGGUAUGAAGGAAACGGUACAGCUUGUAUAGAUAUCGACGAAUGUGCAAUAUCAGCUCAUAACUGUCAUGGAGUUGCUUACUGUUUUAACAUUCCGGGAUCCUUCAGCUGUGAGUGCCGAAAAAGCUACAUUGGUGAUGGGAUAUCAUGUGAGCCCUUUGGAGAUUUCUCAGUGACCAUUAGAAACAGUUCAAAAGACAAAUAUCAG
Long non-coding RNA from Pocillopora damicornis (cauliflower coral), 211 nucleotides. The record is from RefSeq and is a predicted model, not a curated record. Lineage: Eukaryota; Metazoa; Cnidaria; Anthozoa; Scleractinia; Pocilloporidae.